CGUGGGUAACCUGCCCUUAAGUCUGGGAUAACACCUGGAAACAGAUGCUAAUACCGGAUAACAACAGAUGAUGCCUAUCAACUGUUUAAAAGAUGGUUCUGCUAUCACUCUUGGAUGGACCUGCGGUGCAUUAGCUAGUUGGUAGGGUAACGGCCUACCAAGGCGAUGAUGCAUAGCCGAGUUGAGAGACUGAUCGGCCNCAUUGGGACUGAGACACGGCCCAAACUCCUACGGGAGGCAGCAGUU
RNAcentral lists this ribosomal RNA (246 nucleotides) under uncultured Lactobacillus sp. RNAcentral describes it as "partial 16S ribosomal RNA". It matches the Rfam family "Bacterial small subunit ribosomal RNA", at positions 116 to 355 of the family's 1533-position model. Lineage: Bacteria; Bacillati; Bacillota; Bacilli; Lactobacillales; Lactobacillaceae. The record is from RNAcentral.